AUUGAACGCUGGCGGCAGGCCUAACACAUGCAAGUCGAGCGGAUGAAGGGAGCUUGCUCCUGGAUUCAGCGGCGGACGGGUGAGUAAUGCCUAGGAAUCUGCCUGGUAGUGGGGAUUACGUUCCGGAACGGGGGGCAAUUACGCCAACGGCCUGAAGGAGGAAGGGGGGGAUUCUUGGGACCUACGCCUAUCAGUUGACCCUAGGUCGGAUUAGCUAGUUGGUGGGGUAAAGGCUUACCAAGGCGACGAUCCGUAACUGGUCUGGGAGGAUGAUCAGUCACACUGGAACUGAGACACGGUCCAGACUCCUACGGGAGGCAGCAGUGGGGAAUAUUGGACAAUGGGCGAAAGCCUGAUCCAGCCAUGCCGCGUGUGUGAAGAAGGUCUUCGGAUUGUAAAGCACUUUAAGUUGGGAGGAAGGGCAGUAAGUUAAUACCUUGCUGUUUUGACGUUACCAACAGAAUAAGCACCGGCUAACUUCGUG
RNAcentral lists this ribosomal RNA (484 nucleotides) under uncultured bacterium. RNAcentral describes it as "partial 16S ribosomal RNA". It matches the Rfam family "Bacterial small subunit ribosomal RNA", at positions 30 to 507 of the family's 1533-position model. The record is from RNAcentral.